GCCAGCAGCCAUAUCACCCUGUAAUUGACAAUUGGCCAUCCACUGAAGCUAACCAUGUCUGAACCUGGUCAGUACCUGGAUGGGAGACCUCCUGGGAUAAACUAAGGUUGCUGCUAGAA
RNAcentral lists this ribosomal RNA (119 nucleotides) under Lepisosteus oculatus (spotted gar). Lineage: Eukaryota; Metazoa; Chordata; Actinopteri; Semionotiformes; Lepisosteidae. The record is from RNAcentral.